Long non-coding RNA from Gallus gallus (chicken), 533 nucleotides. The record is from Ensembl. NCBI's taxonomy places the organism in Eukaryota, Metazoa, Chordata, Aves, Galliformes, Phasianidae.
GGUUACACGUGUGUUUUGGAGCCUGCAGACAUACCAAAGGGAGGUGCGCUGCUGCAGUGUCUUACUGGCUGUAUGAUGUGGUGGUCACUGGAAAAAUCUCACUGCUCUACUGUACUUUGGCAUGAGGCAGCAGUGGCUGGAGGUGAAUGUUUUCCCACCACAGCGCCGUGAGAUAAACAAGGGGCAGCUGAUUCACGCCGCACUUAUUUUCUGCCAUCCACCCUUCGUGUCACCCUGAUAUUUCUUCAAACGAUAAGCCUGCGUGAGCGCUCACGCUGCGCCGCCGAGCAAAUGGAUGAGCAGCAAAGGCUCCCAGCACCUUCCGGAGAGGCCAGCAACUUCUUUCAACUUCAGUACAAAAUGGUGAGCGGCUCUAAGAAAUAAACAAGAGAUUCCUGCAGCCCUCGUCCAAAGGGACCAUUUAAAAAUAGACAAAUUAUGACUCGAGAUGAAAUGUAUGCAUUGCAUAAAUCAAAGUUCUCACACCCACCAUCAGAGUUUAAUCACUUUAUAUGCUGGUCUUUCAACAUGCU